RNAcentral lists this ribosomal RNA (385 nucleotides) under uncultured fungus. Its description in RNAcentral is "eukaryotic LSU rRNA". The stretch from base 1 to 71 matches the Rfam family "5.8S ribosomal RNA", at positions 84 to 154 of the family's 154-position model. Lineage: Eukaryota; Fungi. The record is from RNAcentral.
GUGAGUCAUCGAAUCUUUGAACGCAUAUUGCGCUCUUUGGUAUUCCGAAGAGCAUGCUUGUUUGAGUAUCAGUAAACACCUCAAAGCCUUUUUUUGUUAAGAGACUUUGGACUUGAGCAAUCCCAACACUUCUUUUUUUUAGAAGGGGCGGGUUGCUUGUUAAAUGACAGGUGCAGCUGGACAUUCUCCUGAGCUAAAAGCAUAUUCAUUUAGUCCCGUCAAACGGAUUAUUACUUUUGCUGCAGCUAAUAUAAAGGGAGUUUGACCAUUUUGGCUGACUGAUGCAUGGAUUUUCUACAAGAGUCUUCAAACCUACUCUUGUUAAACUUCGAUCUCAAAUCAAGUAAGACUACCCGCUGAACUUAAGCAUAUCAAUAAGCGGAGG